CACUCAUCCAGCCUUCCUCCACCAGUUGCAGUUGCUAUUUACAAUGAAGCGAGUUUCCCUUUCAAUCCUUUUUCUUGCCCUUCUCUUGCUGUCCUCUACGGCUUUUGCACGUAUACCAUAUGAGAAUAAUAAGGAUACAAUCUGCCCAAAACUCUGCCCAGAUUACAGGGGCAGAUUGCUAUGCUGCAAAAGUAACUGUUGCGGUGAUUUUUGCUGCAGUAAUGGGGAGUAUGCGGAGUUCCUGAAAGCAAAGAGUCUCCCCAACAACUGAAGCUUCCUGAUUCUCCUGCGAUGAUGGAUGAUGAUGGUAGAAGUGAAAGUGCUUGUCAAUAAUAAAGUAAGCGUGCAUAUUUAUUGUCUGCUAGGGAUCGAGCAUGCACGCUGAGUAUGUCUCUCCUGGUUCUUGUUGUUUCCAAGAACCUUUGUGUACGUUUAUAUCGCGUGUCUCUACCUGUGGAAUGAAAUAAAUUAGUUA
Nymphaea colorata (pocket water lily) is the source of this 475-nucleotide long non-coding RNA. RefSeq lists it as uncharacterized. The record is from RefSeq and is a predicted model, not a curated record. Lineage: Eukaryota; Viridiplantae; Streptophyta; Magnoliopsida; Nymphaeales; Nymphaeaceae. The transcript has 2 exons.